AACGAACGCUGGCGGCAUGCCUAACACAUGCAAGUCGAACGAGACCUCCGGGUCUUGUGGCGCACGGCUGCGUACCGCGUGGGAACUUGCCCUUAGGUUCGCAAUAACUCACCGAAAGGGGUGCUAAUACCGGUUAAUCUCUUCGCACCAAAGAUUUAUCGCCUUAGGGUGGGCCCGCGUUGGUUUAGCUAGUUGGGAGGGGAAAAGCCUGCCAAGGCGAGGAUCCAGAGCUGGUCGGAGAGCAGGACAUGCCACGCUGGGGCUGAGACCCGGCCCAGACUCCUACGGGGAGGAGCAGUGGAGAAUAUUGGAGGCUGGGCGAAAGUCUGAUCCAGCAGCGCCGCGUAAGUGAUGAAGGCGUUAGGGUUGUAAAGCUCUUUUUCACGGGAUGAUAAUGACAGUACCGGGAGAAUAAGCACCGGCUAACUACGUG
This 433-nucleotide ribosomal RNA is filed under the name uncultured bacterium. RNAcentral's name for it is "partial 16S ribosomal RNA". It matches the Rfam family "Bacterial small subunit ribosomal RNA", at positions 29 to 507 of the family's 1533-position model. The record is from RNAcentral.